Neoarius graeffei (lesser salmon catfish) is the source of this 374-nucleotide non-coding RNA. NCBI's taxonomy places the organism in Eukaryota, Metazoa, Chordata, Actinopteri, Siluriformes, Ariidae. The record is from the annotation of a RefSeq genome assembly.
GUCUGAACUAAACACUCAGAAUAACAAUGUUACUCCUCUUAGUUUUCUUCAGUAUCACUGAUAUUGCAGAGGCUGCUGACAACAGCAUUAAAUCAAACCAAACUAAUGUAUUUUCAACUGAAGGCAGCAACACCACGCUGUCCUGCACAUACACUGGAUAUACUGGAUCAGAGACCAGUCUCCACUGGUAUCGACAAAAACCUGGAUCAAGACCUGAGUUUCUGCUGCUGAUUCUUGAAAGCAGUGGAAGUAUCAUACACACUCAACCCCCUCAUCAACGACUGUCCAUCAAACUUGAUAAAACGAAUAAGAAAGUGGAUCUGUUCAUCUCCUCUGCUGCAGUGACAGACUCUGCACUGUACUACUGCGCUCUG